RNAcentral lists this ribosomal RNA (301 nucleotides) under uncultured bacterium. Its description in RNAcentral is "partial 16S ribosomal RNA". It matches the Rfam family "Bacterial small subunit ribosomal RNA", at positions 509 to 807 of the family's 1533-position model. The record is from RNAcentral.
CAGUCGCCGCGGGAAUACGUAGGGUGCAAGCGUUAACCGGAAUUACUGGGCGUAAAGCGUGCGUAGGCGGUGAGUUAAGUCUGCUGUGAAAUCCCCGGGCUCAACCUGGGAAUGGCAGUGGAUACUGGCUCGCUAGAGUGUGUCAGAGGAUGGUGGAAUUCCCGGUGUAGCGGUGAAAUGCGUAGAGAUCGGGAGGAACAUCAGUGGCGAAAGCGGCCAUCUGGGACAACACUGACGCUGAGGCACGAAAGCGUGGGGAGCAAACAGGAUUAGAUACCCCCGUAGUCCCUGUCUCUUAUAC